RNAcentral lists this ribosomal RNA (460 nucleotides) under uncultured bacterium. RNAcentral's name for it is "partial 16S ribosomal RNA". It matches the Rfam family "Bacterial small subunit ribosomal RNA", at positions 338 to 795 of the family's 1533-position model. The record is from RNAcentral.
CCUACGGGAGGCAGCAGUGAGGAAUAUUGGUCAAUGGACGAGAGUCUGAACCAGCCAAGUAGCGUGAAGGAUGACUGCCCUAUGGGUUGUAAACUUCUUUUAUAUGGGAAUAAAAUGUUCCACGUGUGGGAUUCUGUAUGUACCAUAUGAAUAAGGAUCGGCUAACUCCGUGCCAGCAGCCGCGGUAAUACGGAGGAUCCGAGCGUUAUCCGGAUUUAUUGGGUUUAAAGGGAGCGUAGGUGGAUUGUUAAGUCAGUUGUGAAAGUUUGCGGCUCAACCGUAAAAUUGCAGUUGAAACUGGCAGGCUUGAGUACAGUAGAGGUGGGCGGAAUUCGUGGUGUAGCGGUGAAAUGCUUAGAUAUCACGAAGAACUCCGAUUGCGAAGGCAGCUCACUGGACUGCAACUGACGCUGAGGCUCGAAAGUGUGGGUAUCAAACAGGAUUAGAUACCCGAGUAGUC